GGAAAAAAGGAUUAAUAUCUUAGUAAAAAUACAGUAAAGGAACAUACGAGAUAGACAUGUAAAAUCAUGCUUAUAGAAACCAGUAGAAGGAAGAACAUAGCACAGAAUAGAAGCACAAUCAUAACACGGCAAACAAAAGAACACAAGAGAAAAACUCAUAAGAACAUGGCAUAGACAGAUUCAUUCAAAGAAAAGAGGAGGAAGAGACAAAAAUCGUUUUGAGACUUUUCCAGAAAUCCCUAAAUCGAAAACAAACUAACUUUGAAAUAAAAAUUGGGGGAAAAGUUUAAAAGAUUGAAGAUAGCAUAGAUUCACCACAUAUCUAGGAACAUAAAAUAAGAAGGAACCUCAAUAGAUUUAGGGUUUCUCUAAAACCCUAGAAAUGAGAAGGCUUGGAAGAAAUUCCGGUCUCGAGUCAGAAAUGGCCAUAGCUAGGCUCAUGAAGCUCGAAUAAGCCGGAGUGAAGCUGCAGAGGCCCUACAACCACUGAUCUGUAGAGGAUCUGAACAAACUCCAUCGAGGACAGACCUCAAAAUCUCAAACUCCCAUGGUUUAGGAGUAAAGGAAGGUAAGUACAGGCUGUCCAUCGCCUGGAAAGCCAUGGAUUCCGGUGAGAUUAUGCUUGGAGCAGGGUGAGAAGGGCUAGAGUUUCGAGACCCUUCAAUAGAGUUUGAGAGAAAGAGAGAUUUCAG
This 692-nucleotide long non-coding RNA is filed under the name Nicotiana benthamiana. RNAcentral describes it as "long non-coding RNA (NBEN_LNC037990)". The record is from RNAcentral. Lineage: Eukaryota; Viridiplantae; Streptophyta; Magnoliopsida; Solanales; Solanaceae.